RNAcentral lists this ribosomal RNA (574 nucleotides) under Clonostachys rogersoniana. Its description in RNAcentral is "eukaryotic LSU rRNA". It matches the Rfam family "Eukaryotic large subunit ribosomal RNA", at positions 1 to 588 of the family's 3401-position model. Lineage: Eukaryota; Fungi; Ascomycota; Sordariomycetes; Hypocreales; Bionectriaceae. The record is from RNAcentral.
UUGACCUCAGAUCAGGUAGGAAUACCCGCUGAACUUAAGCAUAUCAAUAAGCGGAGGAAAAGAAACCAACAGGGAUUGCCCUAGUAACGGCGAGUGAAGCGGCAACAGCUCAAAUUUGAAAUCUGGCGCAAGCCCGAGUUGUAAUUUGUAGAGGAUGUUUCUGGCGACGUGCCUUCCGAGUUCCCUGGAACGGGACGCCAUAGAGGGUGAGAGCCCCGUACGGUUGGAUGCCUAGCCUCUGUGAAACUCCUUCGACGAGUCGAGUAGUUUGGGAAUGCUGCUCUAAAUGGGAGGUAUACGUCUUCUAAAGCUAAAUACCGGCCAGAGACCGAUAGCGCACAAGUAGAGUGAUCGAAAGAUGAAAAGCACUUUGAAAAGAGGGUUAAAAAGUACGUGAAAUUGUUGAAAGGGAAGCGUUCAUGACCAGACUUGGGCAGGUUGAUCAUCCGUGGUUCUCCGCGGUGCACUCUGCCUGCCCAGGCCAGCAUCAGUUCGCCCCGGGGGAUAAAGGUUUUGGGAAUGUGGCUCCUCCGGGAGUGUUAUAGCCCGUUGCGUAAUACCCUGGGACGGACUG